This is a long non-coding RNA of Onychostoma macrolepis, 1564 nucleotides long. RefSeq lists it as uncharacterized. NCBI's taxonomy places the organism in Eukaryota, Metazoa, Chordata, Actinopteri, Cypriniformes, Cyprinidae. The transcript is spliced from 3 exons. The record is from RefSeq and is a predicted model, not a curated record.
UGCAUCACAGGAAUAAAUUAUAUAUUAAAAUAUGAUUUUAAAAAGUUCUUUUAAAUUGUAAUAGGCCUAAUACUUAAUAUUACUGCUUUUACUGUCUUUUUAAAUCACAAAUGCCGCCAAUUCAAGCUGAAAUGCAUUUGAUAAUCAUGCUGCUGCACAUAGUUUGGGCACUUUCACAAUCUUGGUGUCAUGUUUUACAAGAAAAGAUAACUGUCUGUUGCACUUACAUCUUGGCCAUUUUCUUGUUUGUGGAUUCACAUAAGUGCAAAACUGUUUUCACUGUAGUCUGUUUCUGGUAGAAUUACACAAUACAGGUCCAAAUAAAUUACAUCCAUUGUGAAAGUUCUGGCAGAUAUCCACUCCGAAAGACUCAAUAAGAUGAUGCCUGUAAUUGUGGCAAUUCAUCUAUCUCAGACGACAAAAAAAAAAGUGCUGAAGUGUUUAUCUGUAACUCCAAACCGGCUCUUUCAACACCCGGGUAGCCCGACGCACUGAGUAAAUAUUUUAGCCUUAACAAGGGCUGGCAUGCUAUUUCAUCUGCUUCUCCAGUGAAUACUGAUGUCUUAAUCGUAGGGUUUGGCGAGACACAGGUGGUCAAGGUUCAGUGGUAAGCCUGGGAAAGGGUGGAGAAUCCGUCUUCCAGUGACGCAUGAGGAUUUCUGAUUGGGAUGCAACUCACAUAAGGACCGAAUACAAGACUUCAACACGGACAGAGAAAAGGGAUUUUAACAUGCGGAGGUGAGAUACCUUUCCUCUGCGACGUGCCGCUGAGGUGUGGAUUGGCGUUGCUGCAAAGAGUCCAGUCUACGUCAUUCUUCCGGUGUGGACAGAGGAACCCCGGCCUAGAAAACUGGCUCUGAAAGAAAAAUAAGUCAUUAAGAAGGCCGAUGGAGAAUGAUGGUGGUCCCCGAGGAGUUAUUUCACAGUAUUAAGAUUCAAUAGAAGGAGCCAACAUCUGUGUUUAAGUAUCUGGCCUAAACGGAUGGAAACAAACUGUGCUACUGGAAGAAUAAAGGCAUAGUCUUCACUGUAACACAAAAGACAUUGCACAGACAAGAUGUUAAUGUAAUGUCAAUGAACUCUUCUAAAUAACUCAAUGCAUGACGGCAGAGAAAAUAAAGACGUUUUGGACUGUACUAUUUGUGGAAUGAGCCUUGAGAUUGGAGGCUCGGAGCCAUUUGGCCUGACUUUCUUUGAAGAUGGUUUUGUGGAGGGUUAAACCCAUACUCCUCCCUCUCUCUGAUGCCUGUCGCUCUUUCAUUCUGCCCAGGAAAGGCUGUACGUCACUGUGGGUUCAGAUAUAAAAUAGUCUUUGGCUGUAUCUUGCCAUCUGCGCACUGCUUCUGUAGCACUGGACUGUAAUUCAUGUCAGUGAUGAUAGCAUUUUUAGCUCUUGUCUUGUAACGUGUUGGUGGCGAAGUGUUGGUGUUUAAUCUUGUGGAUAUCCAGGAUUCACAUUGCUGGUGAGAGAAUAGAUUAUUAUUUUAGUGGGUUUUUUUCUUUUCUUUUUUUUUCUUUUAGGAAUAUUUUCUCAAUUUAACUUUUCUAAGGGCCAUUUUGUUAU